Oxyura jamaicensis (ruddy duck) is the source of this 1730-nucleotide long non-coding RNA. RefSeq lists it as uncharacterized. The transcript is spliced from 4 exons. The record is from RefSeq and is a predicted model, not a curated record. NCBI's taxonomy places the organism in Eukaryota, Metazoa, Chordata, Aves, Anseriformes, Anatidae.
UUGUUUAGCUUUACUGGAGGUUCCUGGUUGCAGCGGGGAGAGUGGCCCAGCGUGACCCCGGCGCAGACCCCCUGCCUGGCCGCCUCCGGUACGGCGGAGGAAUGCAGCAGGAGGCCGGGGCGGCCGGACCCUCGCCCUGCGGGCGCUGCUCUCUGGAGGCCUGCACAAACACAGCCUGCUGGUGUGCGCCGGAGAGGAUUCAACAAGAAAAUGAGGUGUUCAGCCUAUGGCUGUCCCAGAUCCUUCCCACUCCUUAUCUGAGUACUUUUGGCCCCAUUUUCACUUUCUGCAGGCAGCAGAGCCUCAUCUGGCCCCUUGGCCACUUUUAAGUCCUGCUGUUGUAUUUGCCUGUGGUGUUUUUUCAGAAGACACUGAAAAAUAGGAAAACAGGCUUCGUAUGGUACCUGUAAUUGAAGAGGAGAAAUCUGAGAUUUCUGCAGGCAUUUAAGGACAUAUGUAUAGGAUUUAGUAGUGCUAUUGCCCUGUAAUUGUUAAUAACAGCAGAGUGGCUGGAGAAGUCCUUGAAGAACCUGAUCGAAUGCUCACCAAGGAAAUCUGCUCCCUGGCAUGGAUGUAGGUUCAAGCCAGGCAGACACAGCCUGGAGCUUUCCCUGCUUGCUCAAGGGGCUGCCUGAAAUUCUUGCCAUUAACUGUCCAUACCAUUGCUACUUGGUACAGUUCUGUCAUUUCUUCAAGGUGUGAGUUCUUUUUAUUUUUUCCUUAAAAAUAUAUUUACUACUGAAUUGUAGAGGAUAGAUUUUCAUUUUUCUUUGGGGUCUAACUCCACCGAGUUCCUUGGUGCAACAUUAGCAGGGGGUUAAGUACUCUGGCUCAUUUUUCUCAGGAUAACUUUAAAGCUCUGGUGGAGAUGAAGAGGUGAAGGCACUUAGCAUCCACGCUGCUCAGACAAAAGACUUCAGGUCUCAUCAAGUUGAAUUUAUCACUCUUCAAAAGAGUAGCCCUUCAAAUCAUUUAGAUCUGACCUUCUUCCCCUGGGAGAAUUCUUCUUACAAAACAGGUAUAUUUGAUACAGAAAAAUAGUUAUUCAUUACCAACUGGUAGGUCCUCUCUACCAGAUCACCUUUAAUCUGCAAGCCAAGCAAGAACAGGGAACAUACCUUAUUUUUUUUCCUUCUUUGUGUUUUGGAUGGUAAAUGUUGACUCUAUCUGAUAUCAGCAGUCAUGCAGAAGGUUGUUGCAGAAGACAGAAAAGCAGUGUUACCUCAGGACUUUUUCUCACAGGCAGAGUAGUUGGUAGGUUGGCCAAAACUGUCUUCACUCCUCAAAGGAAAAUGUAUUAAAAGAGAAAUGCAGCCCUUUCAUAUUGCCAGUGCUGUUCUGCUUGGAGAGAAAACUCCAUCAAUGCAACUCCCAUAAAGACAGAUCUCUGCCAAAUACAAUUUGGAGAUGCUGCGGGACUUGGGAAUUGGCCCCUCAUUAGAGAUACUGAGAUUUCUCUCUAGAAGGGCAGUUUUCCAGCCUAUGAAAAUUAAUGGGAGAUGUACAUGUAUAUGUGGGUAGAUUUCAGCUCCCAAAUAUACUACAAGGUGGGCCAAUCCACCAAAUUGCACUGAAUGUUGUUUCAUCACUCCAGAGGCUCCCUGCCUGGUGCCAAAUAUCUGCAGUUUGAACAUCUAUUAUACUAUUAGUGCUGCAGUGUAUCAACAGAUAACUCAGAUACAAUAUAGAAGAUAUAAUUCUCAAUAUUGUCCACUGAUUUAAAAUAUACG